This 187-nucleotide unclassified non-coding RNA is filed under the name uncultured Rozellomycota. RNAcentral's name for it is "uncultured Cryptomycota sequence contains ITS2". Lineage: Eukaryota; Fungi; Rozellomycota. The record is from RNAcentral.
AACAAGAUCAACUCUAGUUGAGAGUUGGGAGUGGCCUUAUGCGUCGCUAAGCGAGUAUUUGGCUUGAAUAGAUCGAGUUGAUGAGCUUCCCAGCGCGGCUCAAUGUGUGCUAGCGAGACAGUCGUCCCGACCUCACAUUUUCGCUGCGCUGCAGAGUUCUGAGUACAGCUCGUUAAACCCAUAUCAU